UCCAAGGUAAGUAGUCAUGUGUUUUUGUUGCUGAAUAAUGGAGCAUGUCGAAUAGCAAGUUUCCAGAAUGUCGAAGGAGCAUUCUGUCAUCUUCACUGAUGAUAUUAUUGUCACAGAAUUCUUUCCAUCCUUCCCAAACCAAUUUUCUAAAAUGCUAAUGGUCCAUGUUCUAUACCCUUCUCGAAUAGUUAUCUUAUGUUGGCGGUGUUUUCUUAGAAGCA
Molecule: long non-coding RNA, 221 nt
Filed under: Coffea arabica (coffee)
Lineage: Eukaryota; Viridiplantae; Streptophyta; Magnoliopsida; Gentianales; Rubiaceae
Description: long non-coding RNA (CARA_LNC005130)
Source: RNAcentral